UCGUAACAAGGUCUCCGUUGGUGAACCAGCGGAGGGAUCAUUACAGAGUUAUACAACUCCCAUACCAUCUGUUAACCUACCCAGUUAUGCCUCGGCGUAAGCUCGGUUGGAGGCACCUGCAGCUACCCUGUAGUUGCGGACUGCCAACUCCAGCCGCGGCCCGCCGGCGGUACACUAAACUCUGUUUUAUUUUAUAUUCUGAGCGUCUUAUUUUAAUAAGUUAAAACUUUCAACAACGGAUCUCUUGGUUCUGGCAUCGAUGAAGAACGCAGCGAAAUGCGAUAAGUAAUGUGAAUUGCAGAAUUCAGUGAAUCAUCGAAUCUUUGAACGCACAUUGCGCCCAUCAGUAUUCUGGUGGGCAUGCCUGUUCGAGCGUCAUUUCAACCCUUAAGCCUAGCUUAGUGUUGGGAAUCUGCUGUACUGCAGUUCCUUAAAGACAGUGGCGGAGCGGCGGUAGUCCUCUGAGCGUAGUAAUUUAUUUCUCGCUUUUGUCAGGCUCUGUCCUCCCGCCAUAAAACCCCCAAUUUUUUAGUGGUUGACCUCGGAUCAGGUAGGAAUACCCGCUGAACUUAAGCAUAUCAAUAA
Molecule: unclassified non-coding RNA, 585 nt
Filed under: Apiospora arundinis
Lineage: Eukaryota; Fungi; Ascomycota; Sordariomycetes; Amphisphaeriales; Apiosporaceae
Description: sequence contains 18S rRNA gene, ITS1, 5.8S rRNA gene, ITS2, 28S rRNA gene
Rfam family: 5.8S ribosomal RNA (bases 225-378)
Source: RNAcentral